RNAcentral lists this ribosomal RNA (397 nucleotides) under uncultured Lachnospiraceae bacterium. Its description in RNAcentral is "bacterial SSU rRNA". It matches the Rfam family "Bacterial small subunit ribosomal RNA", at positions 355 to 769 of the family's 1533-position model. The record is from RNAcentral. Lineage: Bacteria; Bacillati; Bacillota; Clostridia; Lachnospirales; Lachnospiraceae.
UGGGGAAUAUUGCACAAUGGAGGAAACUCUGAUGCAGCGACGCCGCGUGAGUGAAGAAGUAAUUCGUUAUGUAAAGCUCUAUCAGCAGGGAAGAUAGUGACGGUACCUGACUAAGAAGCUCCGGCUAAAUACGUGCCAGCAGCCGCGGUAAUACGUAUGGGGCAAGCGUUAUCCGGAUUUACUGGGUGUAAAGGGAGCGUAGACGGCAAUGCAAGUCUGAAGUGAAAGGACGGGGCUUAACCCUGUGACUGCUUUGGAAACUGUGUAGCUUGAGUGCCGGAGGGGUAAGCGGAAUUCCUAGUGUAGCGGUGAAAUGCGUAGAUAUUAGGAGGAACACCAGUGGCGAAGGCGGCUUACUGGACGGUAACUGACGUUGAGGCUCGAAAGCGUGGGGAGC